UUGAAACACCAGUUCUAGUCCGAUCAUCGAAGUUAAGCAACAUCGACCCUGGUGAGUUCCAUGAUGGGUGACCGCUUGGGAAUAACAGAUG
Acanthosepion pharaonis is the source of this 91-nucleotide non-coding RNA. Lineage: Eukaryota; Metazoa; Mollusca; Cephalopoda; Sepiida; Sepiidae. The record is from the annotation of a GenBank genome assembly.